GUACUGAUGAAGAGUCUGAAAAUUGGGCGAAACAGCUGUCCAGUAC
Molecule: non-coding RNA, 46 nt
Filed under: Trichobilharzia regenti
Lineage: Eukaryota; Metazoa; Platyhelminthes; Trematoda; Strigeidida; Schistosomatidae
Source: RNAcentral